CUGAUUAUGCAAAUUACUAAAUUCAGAGUUGUCAGUAGAAUGCUCCCUUCGGUUUUCUAGACUGCAGGCUUUGCUCCUUUUACUUCUCUGAGGAUAUCACAUGGAAAGAUGUUCGUGGGACUGUUGAAACCUUUGGCCUCCUGGGUUGUGACCUGAAGUAUGCAGUGUGGUUAUAGCAGUGCCAGAACCCAAGAAGAACAAAUGGGUGAGAGUUGCUCUCUCCAGUGCCAAAUGAAGUUGCUCUGACUACCCAGAUAUUCAGAAUGAAGAGUUGCUGCAUUAAAAUUAUUUUUUACGGUAAAUAGAUGUAACCUGAAAAUAAGACCUCCAUAUCAAAAUCUUGGGCAAAAAGAUAAUCUACAAGCUACAUAAUUCAAAUAACUGAUCAGAGUAGGAGACACUUUGGCUGUAGUUUGCAAAGGACAAUAAAAUCUGUGUAAUCAUAUUGUCUUGUGGGACAGGACAGACAGCAACACAGCCCUCAGAGGUCUCUGGCAUUCUCACAUGAAUUCAGGUUAUUCUGCAGGCCAUUACCCAUCCAGUCCUACUACCAGUCACAAGAUAUGGGACUGAUGUGGAAGCUGCUGUGGAGCAGCCAGAGAUCCUGACACAUCCUUGUCCCAGGAGAUGUCCUACUCUCCCAGCACUAUUUAACAAAAUGUGAGGUGGUUUCUGCGUGUCUUUCUAUCGUAGAAUGAUGGGGGAAUGGUCAGUACUGAGGCACUGCAAUACACUGUCUACAGUAAAGGAUUUUCCCAUCUGCUGGAACAAAGAUCAUGAGGCCCUAGCAAUGCUUAAGAUAACUUGCCAAGUGCAAAUUUCUAAUCAAUAUUUUGGCUUUAAGCAUACUAUGUGGUUACUGUAGGCAUCAACAGACUCAGAAUCCUCGAAGUUGUAACAGGAGAGCAGGAACAAUUGCCUCCUGCCUGAUCUGCGGCGAUGGACGUUCUUUGUGUGUUUGAAUAAUGAAACACAACCCUUAAAACUUUAAACCUAACAAUUAUGGCAGUCCUAGGUUUUUAUGGCCGUUGUUAUUAUCAUUUCUGGUUAGAGACAAGCUCAGCAGAGAGGGAUCUGAGGGUGCAGCUGACAGCUGCUCAGCAUGAGCCAGCAGUGUGCCUGACAGCCAAGGGGUAAACUGCAUUUUGGGGUUCAUUAAACACAGCACGGACAGCUGGUCAAAACAGGUGAUUCUCCUGCUGCAUUUAGUGAUGGUGUGGCCUCACCUUGGAUACUGUGUUUAAUUCUGGGCUCCACAGGAUAAAAAGGGUGUUAAGGUCCUUGAAAGCAUCCAGAGGAGGCACCAAAGCUGUAAACAAGGCUGGAGGGUGUUUUCUCACCUCAUCCUGCGAAGAACCUCACAUUUCCAUUUUACUUGAGGAACUUCUAUUCAUCACUGAUGAUCCAGCUCAAUAUCUGCCUUCAAAUUUUCAGCAAAUUGCAAAUCAGUCCAAGACACCUAGAAGCAUAGAAAAUACCUGGAAAGACCUAAGCAAAGCAAAACAGAGUGCAGGAGACAGAGCUUGCAUGGAGGAAGAAGACUCUGACAUUGCAGGGCUGCCUGCACUCUGGCUUUCGAGAUCACCAACUGCCGAUGAGGAGUCAUUGCUCAAAUGGUC
This is a long non-coding RNA of Numida meleagris (helmeted guineafowl), 1619 nucleotides long. RefSeq lists it as uncharacterized. The record is from RefSeq and is a predicted model, not a curated record. NCBI's taxonomy places the organism in Eukaryota, Metazoa, Chordata, Aves, Galliformes, Numididae. The transcript has 3 exons.